GCCGGUGUGGUAGCACAAGCCUGGAAUGCCUGUUUUUGGGAGGCUGGAGCUGGCAUAUCUCUUGAGCUCAGGAGUUCUAGCUGCAGUGGCUAUGCUGAUCCAGUGUCCAUAUUAAAUUUAGCAUAAAUAUAUUGAGCCUUCAGAGUAGAGGUCCACCAUGCUGUCAAAUGAGAAAUAAACCUGCCUUGGUCAGAAAUGGAGCAGGUCAAAAUUCACAUGUCAAUUAGGAGUGGCAUAGGUAGGACCUUGUGAAUAGUACCUAAAUUUCCAGUUUGGCCAAUAUAUGGGGACUCAGUCUUU
Molecule: non-coding RNA, 300 nt
Filed under: Phascolarctos cinereus (koala)
Lineage: Eukaryota; Metazoa; Chordata; Mammalia; Diprotodontia; Phascolarctidae
Source: RNAcentral